Nicotiana tabacum (common tobacco) is the source of this 780-nucleotide non-coding RNA. The record is from RefSeq and is a predicted model, not a curated record. Lineage: Eukaryota; Viridiplantae; Streptophyta; Magnoliopsida; Solanales; Solanaceae.
ACUGGGCUUUGUCCUGAAAUUCCACUAUAAUUUGCAGAAUAGUGCCUUGGAUACAUCAUGUAGGGACCUAAAACCUAUGCCUCCCUCCUUAUAAGGCAUACAAAGGACAUUUGCGAUCAAAACCGCUCUGCCUCCUACAGAUAGGAGUUUGCCUUUCCAUGACUGCAAUUUGUCCAUAACCCUGGUGAUUAAUCCCUGGUAUAUUGCUGAUUUGGCUUUGUUCACCAGUUGACCAGAUGAUGAUUCAUAAGCUUGCAAAACCUCCAUGACAAGUCUCAAUGAAGUUUCAUCAGAUGAGCAGAAAAUGAUCAUAUCAUCAGCGUAUGAUAGAUGAUUUAUUUUUGGGCUCCAUUUUGGCAUUCCAAAUCCACAGAAAUACAGGAGUUGUAAUUGUGCUUGAAGACUGACUGGUUCCAGACUUGUUAAGUAGUUGAAGUAUUCAAUCAUAUUACUCUCUUGAGAUUGUGCAUCCUGUCAUCUGAUUCAAUUGGUUGAAAUUGAGUCCAUUCAUAGUCCUUUUAUCCUUAUAUCCUUGAUUUAUAUUCAUAUUAACACUUUGUAAAGAACUCUUUACAUCAUUACAACCAUUAUAUGUCUGUUGCACCAUAUUGUCAGUCAUGACAUUGUAGGCAACAUUGGUUCCUUCCCCCCCCUUUUUUUUGGUCUAUAAUUAGGUGGAUAGCCCACAAUCAUGUAGCAAUUUUCUUUGCUAUAUCCUUUGAGUUUACAAAAGUCACACUGAAUAUUGUAGUUUUUCUUGAAUCUUUGAUUUCCUGUGGA